This 253-nucleotide ribosomal RNA is filed under the name uncultured bacterium. Its description in RNAcentral is "partial 16S ribosomal RNA". It matches the Rfam family "Bacterial small subunit ribosomal RNA", at positions 524 to 776 of the family's 1533-position model. The record is from RNAcentral.
UCCGGAGGGGGCUAGCGUUGUUCGGAAUUACUGGGCGUAAAGCGCACGUAGGCGGCUAUUCAAGUCGGGGGUGAAAGCCCGGGGCUCAACCCCGGAAUUGCCCUCGAAACUAGAUAGCUAGAAUCUUGGAGAGGCGAGUGGAAUUCCGAGUGUAGAGGUGAAAUUCGUAGAUAUUCGGAAGAACACCAGUGGCGAAGGCGACUCGCUGGACAAGUAUUGACGCUGAGGUGCGAAAGCGUGGGGAGCGAACAGG